UAGGCGGGCCGGGUUGCCGCAGGCUAUUGCCUGAGGAAAGUCCGGGCUCGGAAGGGUGCGAUGCCGGAUAACGUCCGGGACGGAAGUCGACCGGUUUCCGCGAAAGCGGGAGCCAAGGCGCUUUCGGACAGAUAGUGCCACAGAAAACAUACCGCUGCAUGUCCUGCAGUAAGGGUGAAAAGGCGAGGCAAGAGCUCACCGCAUUGCCGGUAACGGCGAUGGCAAGGCAAACCUCAUCGCGAGCAAGGUCGAACAGCGAUGGAUUACCCGUCCGGACUGCGCGAGCAGUCCACGUCGCGGGUAGACCGCAAGAGCGUGUCUGCAAAGACACGCCGAGAGAGAUGGCAACCAUGCGGUAUUCUGCGGCAGCGCAGAAUAUCGCAUACAGAACCCGGCUUACAGGCCCGCCUUUUUU
Molecule: RNase P RNA, 415 nt
Filed under: Spirochaetota bacterium
Lineage: Bacteria; Pseudomonadati; Spirochaetota
Also listed under: 1 other name
Description: Spirochaetes bacterium (sediment metagenome) RNase P RNA component class A
Rfam family: Bacterial RNase P class A
About the family: Ribonuclease P (RNase P) is a ubiquitous endoribonuclease, found in archaea, bacteria and eukarya as well as chloroplasts and mitochondria. Its best characterised activity is the generation of mature 5'-ends of tRNAs by cleaving the 5'-leader elements of precursor-tRNAs.
Source: RNAcentral